GGUAGUCGGUGAGGUGGGGGAGCCGCUGAGCCUCACCGGCGCGAACGAGAAGGUGUCGAGCGACUGAUCUGCUGCUGCUGCUGUUCUGCUGGCGACUCUGCGUUGGAAGAAGUGACGAGGUUGGUGGCUUCCGGGCAUGACACAGCCAUUUUCGACGACGGCGGCGGGCUGAUCGGAGCGGUUGCGGAGGCGAGAAGUUUGGAGGGGAGGGAGGGAGUUGGAGAGAGGUUCGUGGAGUUUUCGAGAAGCUUUCGGAGGUCGACACGUUGAUGAGUUACGUGGUGAUGUGAUGUCGAAUGAGGAUCUAGGGAAGUUCUCGAAACCACGUGCCUGGUUUGUUCUCGUUUGGGAGCACCAUAUGGAGAAACUACGGGCUCACAAGGUUUUGUGUUUUUCUUGAUUUUGAC
RNAcentral lists this long non-coding RNA (407 nucleotides) under Eucalyptus grandis. Its description in RNAcentral is "long non-coding RNA (EGRA_LNC007570)". The record is from RNAcentral. Lineage: Eukaryota; Viridiplantae; Streptophyta; Magnoliopsida; Myrtales; Myrtaceae.